Molecule: ribosomal RNA, 443 nt
Filed under: uncultured bacterium
Lineage: Bacteria
Description: partial 16S ribosomal RNA
Rfam family: Bacterial small subunit ribosomal RNA
Source: RNAcentral
CCUACGGGUGGCAGCAGUGGGGAAUAUUGCACACUGGGGGCAACCCUGAUGCAGCAACGCCGCGUGAAGGAAGACGGUUUUCGGAUUGUAAACUUCUAUCAAUAGGGAAGAAAGAAAUGACGGUACCUAAAUAAGAAGCCCCGUCUAACUCCGUGCCAGCAGCCGCGGUAAUACGUAGGGGGCAGGCUUUAUCCGGAAUUACUGGUUUGAAAGGGAGAGUAGUCGGCAAGGUAAGCGAUAUGUGAAAGCCUUAGGCUUAAACUGCGGAUUGCAUAACGAACUAUCUAGCUAGAGUACAGGAGAGGAAAGCGGAAUUCCUAGUGGAGCGGUGAAAUGCGUAGAUAUUAGGAAGAACACCAGUGGCGAAGGCGGCUUUCUGGACUGAAACUGACGCUGAGGCUCGAAAGCGUGGGGAGCGAACAGGAUUAGAUACUCGAGUAGUC